Molecule: long non-coding RNA, 3102 nt
Organism: Triticum aestivum (bread wheat)
Lineage: Eukaryota; Viridiplantae; Streptophyta; Magnoliopsida; Poales; Poaceae
Exons: 7
Source: RefSeq, a predicted model, not a curated record
ACUCGCGGGUGUGAACAAACCAUUCCUUGCGCGCCGCGCGUCUAGCGGCUGGCGUGGGCGUCUGCAGCACCCAUUGGACACAAACCCCGAAACCCUAGACUCCAAUCCUCCUUCGCCGCAUCCCUCGCUACCUCGUCCGCCGCCGCACCCUCUUUCCCCUCCUCUCUCUUCAGCGUCCUUCCUCUUUUUCCUUCCGGGUCUCUCUUGCCCGCUCCUUGUUGUUGCUGUGCCGGGGAACCACCACGGCCGCACCGCCGGAUGAAGCCACCAUCCGCGGCGCUGUUCCGUUGCCUUGGAUCCGUGCAGGGGGCCUCCCCGGGGUAGCAGAGGAGGCAGUUGGACGAGGAGGCGCGAGGCGAGCAGGAAGUUGGGGUCGCCGGAGGAGCACAGCCGCACGGGGGCUGGUCUUCGCCAGAGCAGAGUGAAGGAGGUAGAUGUAGGGGGACGCAACUCGGCUCCCAAGCAGAGGAUGCAGCAUCGCCGGCUCCUCUCCCCAUGUCGCCGCUGUCCUACGUCUUCGCUGCCGCCACGGCCUUGCUCGCCACUGACCUCCCGAGUGCUUCUCUCCCCUGCAUUCCCCUUUCCACGAAUUCUUGCCUUCAACGCUAAGUUUAUUCUUCCUGCUGCUAAGUCUUAGUCCUCACGGCGGGGUGGAGGAGCAGGGACGGCCUGUAGGCUGGCGGCAGGGGGGUGGAGCAACGAUGUCGAAGCUUUAGGCGGCGCAUGCAUGGCAGGGUGGAGGAGAGGUCUGUGUGAGGCUGCAAGAGGGGCUCGAUUGUGGGAUUUUAUCUCCCCAUGUCAAGCACGCCGGUGAAGACGGAAGGAAGCCAUGGGAGGCGGGAGCUCCUCUCUGCCUUGGAGCAGAAUCCUGGCGGAUGGGUUUUGGUUCAGACAGAAGAGCUCCAGGCUUUGGAACUUUUUGGGAUAACUAAGUUGGUCGAUGUCACUCGAGAAAAUGGAAAAGGAGAAGGAAAUCGUCAUUAAAUUUAUGAUUGGGCGUAGGUCCAUGGACAUUGUCAGAACUUUAUUCCAGUAUAUUGUUUCCAGAUCUCAUGUUUAUUCAAGUCACCAAGGUUGGAGACACUGGCGUGAAGAUGUCGUGAGUUAUCUGUAAGGGCAUUGUGGUGGCGUGCUCCUCCAUUUCUCCUGCGAGUUCUUCGUGUGGCAGUCAUGGCCCCAUAAGCAGCGCUUCAAGGUGGCUGCAGGUAAAGUUGUCAAGUCGAUCUGGUGCUUGCUCGAGCCGUUGAUUACUGCUGCUUUGCUAAGGUUCAAGGUCUUACUUCAGUAGAAAUUUAUUCCAAUGCUUGCUCAAUCCUUUUUCCAUGAUGACUACCAGAGGAACCUUCGAUGUGUACAGAUGGUAAUGGAUAUGGGGACUGACAAGAACUAGCGAACUUGAUAUCAGAUGCCCUGAACUAUCAAUUCUUUAAUUAUUGGAGGCUUUUGUAUUGAUAUAUCAAUACAAGGUGGGAUAAGAUGCAGGUGAAUGCCUUUAUUUUGUUUCUUUACGAUCUUCUCCUCUAUUUGAUGAUAGAUGCAAAAAAAUAUCGUGUGGCACUGGCUUUCUAAUUACAUACUCCCCCCGUAAAGAAAUAUAAGAGCAUUUGGAUUCAAACGCUUUUAUAUUUCUUUACAGAGGAGUACAAACUAAAUGUGGAGAAGUACUCCCUUUGUCUCAAAAUUCUUGUCUUAGAUUUGUCUAGAUACGGGUGUAUCUAACACUAAAACGUAACUAGAUACAUCCGUAUUUAGACAAAUAUAAGACAAGAAUUUUGGGACGGAGGGAGUAUAUAUGUUUAUUAUCUGGUAAGUGAACUGAAUCACCUUGGUAUAGAAAUCCUAUCCGCUUUUGUCGGAGGCACUGUAAUAAUCUGAAGGAAGCCUUUUUUAUUUCCAAGUUGAUCAACUACACAACUUCUGAUCAUAAAUCCUUUCUUUAAGGGGGGCUGGUCAAUACAGGUCUAUAUUGUGUUAUCUUGCUAUUGGGCUCUUUUUUAUUUUCUUAAAAUGGUCAGAUAUCACUCAUGUUUAAUUCGUGGUUGACUGCGUAUAUCCAAAAUAAUUAUGUUAGUACACUGACGUUAAUUUCUACAUUUUUACCGAAGUUGGCUAAAUAGUUUUUUGUGCUACUGAGAUAUAUAUGUGCUCUAAAUAGUUUUUUGUGCUACUCAGAAGUAAUUUAGUAUAGAUGUUUUUAUAGGAAUUGGUUGUUUAACCCUCUCAUAUAGCCAGUUCGGAUUAGUGGUUCAGGUUAGCACUCCUGUGUGUAUAGUUGAUAUCACAUAUGCUAAUGAUUCUGGUUGUAAGUUCAGAGGUAAUUUAUUAUACAUGUUUUGACAGGAAGUCGAAAGAAGUGCUAAUACCUUGUCAACUUUUGGUAAUUUUCCCUGUGAUUAAGCUUGUGCCUAGCUGACUUGUAAGGUUCCGCACAUUUAAGCCUGGUCAGGCUUUCCUCACACAUGUACUCUUAUUUGAUUGCACACUUCUUUUGGUUAUUAAUUUGUUACCAAGGAACCAUGGCACAGUAAUGUGCUUCAAGUUUUCCAUAUGAAUAAGAACUAUACUCUUUUUCUGCGAUUUUAAAGCAUUUCCAGACCUAUCAAGGCCAAGGUGCUAGCCAAUUUUAAUUUCAUCCUUAUGAGGAUGAAUCGACAAGUGUUCACGAAAGGGUGAAGGUGAAUAACAAGGGCACCGCUCUCUGUUGAUGCACACCCAUGGUUUGCUUGCCACGAUGCAACGACAAGAUGUUCUCGAUAGGAUCAUCCUGACCAUUAGGUUCCUCGUGUUCUCCUUGGCGGUUCUGUAUGUUGUCUCAAGACGUAUUGGCCUGUUGACACUGCAAAGGAAGUUGGUUGAUGCAAUCAGAUCAAGCUCAGUAUCAGCUGGAGACAUCUUGGAUGAAGUGCAGGAGGGACCUUCCACAGCAAAUGCUCCUCCCAUCUGAUGAACUGUGAUUUUACUUCCAUCCAUUGUUUAUACAUACAUGAGCUUACAUCCGGAAGUAAGCUUACCUGUCAGUUAUUAUUUCGUAGUACAUGUUGUCUAAAGUCACAUUUGAUGAGUGUUGUUUUUAAGUACAGUACUAAAAGCUAUAUUCAGUUG